This 301-nucleotide ribosomal RNA is filed under the name uncultured bacterium. RNAcentral's name for it is "bacterial SSU rRNA". It matches the Rfam family "Bacterial small subunit ribosomal RNA", at positions 335 to 652 of the family's 1533-position model. The record is from RNAcentral.
CGUCCUACGGGAGGCAGCAGUGGGGAAUAUUGCACAAUGGGGGAAACCCUGAUGCAGCAACGCCGCGUGAGUGAAGAAGGUUUUCGGAUUGUAAAGCUCUGUUAGCAGGGAAGAGGAAGGACGGUACCUGCAGAGGAAGCCACGGCUAACUACGUGCCAGCAGCCGCGGCAAUACGUAGGUGGCAAGCGUUGUUCGGAAUAACUGGGCGUAAAGGAUGCGUAGGCGGUUAAAGAAGUUAAAUGUUAAAUAAAUAGGCUUAAACUGUAGAAAGCAUAUAAAACAGAUUAACUAGAGUGCAGG